AAGGAUUUAAGUUAUGUAAACUAUUAAUUUUCAAAGUUAACAAAAAAUUUUAUUAAGCCUUU
Molecule: transfer RNA, 62 nt
Filed under: Elateroidea sp. 2 KM-2017
Lineage: Eukaryota; Metazoa; Arthropoda; Insecta; Coleoptera
Description: tRNA-Trp
Source: RNAcentral